Molecule: ribosomal RNA, 253 nt
Filed under: uncultured bacterium
Lineage: Bacteria
Description: partial 16S ribosomal RNA
Rfam family: Bacterial small subunit ribosomal RNA
Source: RNAcentral
UACGUAGGUGGCAAGCGUUGUCCGGAAUUAUUGGGCGUAAAGCGCGCGCAGGCGGUCCUUUAAGUCUGAUGUGAAAUCCCACGGCUCAACCGUGGAAGGUCAUUGGAAACUGGGGGACUUGAGUACAGAAGGGGCAACUGGAAUUCUCGGUGUAGCGGUGAAAUGCGUAGAUAUCGGGAGGAACACCAGUGGCGAAGGCGGCCUGCUGGGCGAUAGCUGACGCUGAGGCGCGACAGCGUGGGGAGCAAACAGG